GUCCCCGUGGUCUAGUGGAUAGGGUGACAGCCUCCGGAGCUGUAGACACAGGUUCGAUUCCUGUCGGGGACGCCA
Molecule: transfer RNA, 75 nt
Filed under: Eubacteriales bacterium
Lineage: Bacteria; Bacillati; Bacillota; Clostridia; Eubacteriales
Description: tRNA-Arg
Rfam family: tRNA
About the family: Transfer RNA (tRNA) molecules are approximately 80 nucleotides in length. Their secondary structure includes four short double-helical elements and three loops (D, anti-codon, and T loops).
Source: RNAcentral